This 250-nucleotide long non-coding RNA is filed under the name Capsicum annuum. RNAcentral describes it as "long non-coding RNA (CANN_LNC012785)". The record is from RNAcentral. Lineage: Eukaryota; Viridiplantae; Streptophyta; Magnoliopsida; Solanales; Solanaceae.
UCCCUUUCAUAUUUUCUCAGCUGCUAUCUGCUUAUUUCGUAUUGCCGUAUCUCUCAUAUUUUCGUAUUGCUCUGAUUUACUUUUUAUUAGUCCUUUCGCCUUUUCUGUUAUGUAAUCCAUCUCCUUGUCGCCUAUUCUUUAUCUUGAGCCGGGGGUCUAUCAGAAACAACCUCUCUACUUCUUCAGAGGUAGCGGUAUGGACUGCGCACAUCUUACCCUCCCCAGACCCUACUUUGUGGGAACACACUGG